This 474-nucleotide ribosomal RNA is filed under the name uncultured organism. RNAcentral's name for it is "partial 16S ribosomal RNA". It matches the Rfam family "Bacterial small subunit ribosomal RNA", at positions 334 to 799 of the family's 1533-position model. The record is from RNAcentral.
CACUCCUGCGGGAGGCAGCAGUAGGGAAUCUUCCACAAUGGGUGCAAACCUGAUGGAGCAAUGCCGCGUGAGUGAAGAAGGUCUUCGGAUCGUAAAGCUCUGUUGUUAGAGAAGAACACGUGCUAGGUAACUACUAGCGCCUUGACGGUAUCUAACCAGAAAGUCACGGCUAACUACGUGCCAGCAGCCGCGGUAAUACGUAGGUGACAAGCGUUGUCCGGAUUUAUUGGGCGUAAAGGGAGCGCAGGCGGUCUGUUUAGUCUAAUGUGAAAGCCCACGGCUUAACCGUGGAACGGCAUUGGAAACUGACAGACUUGAAUGUAGAAGAGGAAAAUGGAAUUCCAAGUGUAGCGGUGGAAUGCGUAGAUAUUUGGAGGAACACCAGUGGCGAAGGCGAUUUUCUGGUCUAACAUUGACGCUGAGGCUCGAAAGCGUGGGGAGCGAACAGGAUUAGAUACCCCGAGUAGUCCCAUG